Molecule: long non-coding RNA, 1055 nt
Organism: Lolium perenne
Lineage: Eukaryota; Viridiplantae; Streptophyta; Magnoliopsida; Poales; Poaceae
Source: RefSeq, a predicted model, not a curated record
UUGACGAUUUCUACCUCCGAUCCCCAUCCGUCACAGCACCACUCACGAUCUCCAUUUAGGGGAGUGGCAGCGGCGGCGGCGGCGCAGUGCCGAUGAUGAAGGAGAUAGGAUGGAGCUAACCGUGGCCAAAGACAGGAAACAGCGUCAGGUGAGUCGGCAACAACCCAGUGCAAGUGGAGGUGAUGGGGGCGACCGCCAGAUCGUAGGUGGAUGCCUUAGAUCAAACAGAGUUGUGCUUCUCCCUGUCCGCACCAUACUUCAUCUCAGGUUGGUAACAUAAAUAGAUCGAACUUGGACAGCCAGAUUUGAGGUUGGAAGAGCUGGCGGAACCUGAGGCUAAGAUUUUUUUCGGUUCUAGAGUUGAUUAUGUUCAUUUAUAUCAAAUGGUCAAGCAAAAUAGCCCAUCUGCUGACAGAAAUUGUAUUUGGUCGGAAUCAUCACAAUACUUUGAAGCAGAUACGGCAAGCUCAAAGCCACCCAUUGUAAGGGUACUGUAGAGAAGCUAUCAAGCAUGAUCUAGGGCAAGCGAAACUUCAUUUCCGACCCAUUGCAUAUUGUCUCACUAGCAAACAAUCCAUGUGCGUUAAAAGAGUAAAUAAUCAUAUUGAUAAAUGAUUUUUCUUUUUUUGGUAGUUUAUUAUGACUUUUGUCCAAUUCAAGGAGAUACUAAAGGUGGGUGUUAUCAAGGCUGAAGGGUUGCAUCAAUUGAGGCAUAACCUUUUUCAGCGGGAUUAUCCAAGCCAGUAUUCUUCCACUCUCAUUUUCUGUAGCCUUGUAUAGCUUUAUGUAUUCUUAAAUAAAAGCUUAUUUUCUUGUUGGCGGACUCAUGUUUUUAUUUAAUAACCAUGGAAGGAAUGACACAAGAGGAUUCCCAAUUUUGUGUUAAGCAUUGUGAGUUCAUGACAACAAGAUGACUGGGCUGAUGAGGAGAAUUUACUACGAUGGAGUUGGCAAAGAGGAUCUAAUCUGCGGGUAAGAGUGAUGGAGAAAUUGCUGAAGUUGUGGAAGCGAAGUAUCCUUCCAUAGUGUUAUAUGGUAGCACACUAAUACUACAG